AGAGUUUGAUCCUGGCUCAGAAUCAACGCUGGCGGCGUGCCUAACACAUGCAAGUCGAACGAGAAAGUGGAGCAAUCCAUGAGUACAGUGGCGUACGGGUGAGUAACACGUGACUAACCUACCCUCGAGUGGGGAAUAACUUCGGGAAACCGAGGCUAAUACCGCAUAACAUCUACGGAUCAAAUGCGUAAGCAGCUUGAGGAGGGGGUCGCGGCUGAUUAGCUAGUUGGCGGGGUAACGGCCCACCAAGGCAAUGAUCAGUAGCCGGCCUGAGAGGGCGCACGGCCACACUGGAACUGAAACACGGUCCAGACUCCUACGGGAGGCAGCAGUGGGGAAUUUUGCGCAAUGGGGGAAACCCUGACGCAGCAACGCCGCGUGGAGGAUGAAGCCCCUUGGGGUGUAAACUCCUUUCGAUCGGGACGAUUAUGACGGUACCGGAUGAAGAAGCACCGGCUAACUCUGUGCCAGCAGCCGCGGUAAUACAGA
Molecule: ribosomal RNA, 489 nt
Filed under: uncultured bacterium
Lineage: Bacteria
Description: bacterial SSU rRNA
Rfam family: Bacterial small subunit ribosomal RNA
Source: RNAcentral